Molecule: ribosomal RNA, 468 nt
Filed under: uncultured bacterium
Lineage: Bacteria
Description: partial 16S ribosomal RNA
Rfam family: Bacterial small subunit ribosomal RNA
Source: RNAcentral
GACGAACGCUGGCGGCGUGCUUAACACAUGCAAGUCGAACGGAAAGGCCCUGCUUUUGUGGGGUGCUCGAGUGGCGAACGGGUGAGUAACACGUGAGUAACCUGCCCUUGACUUUGGGAUAACUUCAGGAAACUGGGGUUAAUACUGGAUAGGAGCUCCUGCUGCAUGGGGGGGGGUGGAAAGUUUCGGCGGUUGGGGAUGGACUCGCGGCUUAUCAGCUUGUUGGUGGGGUAGUGGCUUACCAAGGCUUUGACGGGUAGCCGGCCUGAGAGGGUGACCGGCCACAUUGGGACUGAGAUACGGCCCAGACUCCUACGGGAGGCAGCAGUGGGGAAUAUUGCACAAUGGGCGGAAGCCUGAUGCAGCAACGCCGCGUGCGGGAUGACGGCCUUCGGGUUGUAAACCGCUUUCGCCUGUGACGAAGCGUGAGUGACGGUAAUGGGUAAAGAAGCACCGGCUAACUACGUG